UACGUAAGGGGCAAGCGUUGUUCGGAAUUAUUGGGCGUAAAGGGCGUGUAGGCGGUUUUAUAAGCCUGAUGUGAAAUACCACAGCCUAACUGUGGGAACGCGUUGGGAACUGUAAGACUAGAGUUCAGGAGGGGAAACUGGAAUUCCUGGUGUAGGGGUGAAAUCUGUAGAUAUCAGGAAGAACACCGAUGGCGAAGGCAAGUUUCUGGACAUGGACUGACGCUGAGGCGCGAAAGCGUGGGGAGCAAACAGG
RNAcentral lists this ribosomal RNA (253 nucleotides) under uncultured bacterium. RNAcentral describes it as "partial 16S ribosomal RNA". It matches the Rfam family "Bacterial small subunit ribosomal RNA", at positions 524 to 776 of the family's 1533-position model. The record is from RNAcentral.